AUGUUACAAUACUUGUUAAGUCUAAUGUUACAAGGUCAUUUAGGAAUUCGGAAUUCAAGUUACAACAUGUUACAUAUAAACUCAAGAUACAAAAGAGUCUCAAAAUUCCCAAAGUCUAAAUUGAAAAGGAUCUUGAAUCAUGCUUCAACAUCUCUUCAUGUCCAAACAAAAAUUCUAGUGUCUUAUCUUGCUGUCCUGCUAUUCAUGCUUAAGCCCCUGCUCUGA
Non-coding RNA from Vicia faba (fava bean), 225 nucleotides. NCBI's taxonomy places the organism in Eukaryota, Viridiplantae, Streptophyta, Magnoliopsida, Fabales, Fabaceae. The record is from the annotation of a GenBank genome assembly.